UACGUGGGUCACAAGCGUUAUUCGGUGUUACUGGGCGUAAAGUGUGUGUAGGUGGUCUAUUAAGUUAUAUUUCAAAUCUUCUCGCUUACCGAGAAAAAGGAAUGUAAUACUGGUAGACUUGGAGUUUUCUUUAGGGAAAUCGGAAUUUAUAGAGGAGCAGUGAAAUGCGUUGAUACUAUAAAGAACACCAGUGGCGAAAGCGGAUUUCUGGAAGAUAACUGACACUGAGACACGAAAGCUAGGGGAGCAAACCGG
Molecule: ribosomal RNA, 255 nt
Filed under: uncultured bacterium
Lineage: Bacteria
Description: partial 16S ribosomal RNA
Rfam family: Bacterial small subunit ribosomal RNA
Source: RNAcentral